Phodopus roborovskii (desert hamster) is the source of this 402-nucleotide non-coding RNA. NCBI's taxonomy places the organism in Eukaryota, Metazoa, Chordata, Mammalia, Rodentia, Cricetidae. The record is from the annotation of a RefSeq genome assembly.
AUGGAGAAAUACUGGAGUGUUUUACUAUUGGUCCUGUGGCUUCAGGCUAAUUGUGUGAGCAGCCAGCAGAAGGUGCAGCAGAACCCAGAAUCCCUCAGUGUCCCAGAGGGAGCCAUGGCCUCUCUCAACUGCACUUUCAGCGAUAGUGCUUCUCUGAACUUCUGGUGGUACAGACAGCGUCCUGGGAAAGGACCCAAGUUUCUCAUGUCCAUCAUCUCCAAUGGUGAAAAGAAAGAAGGCAGAUUCACAGCUUUCCUCAAUAAAGCCAGCCUGCAUGUUUCUCUGCACAUCAGAGACUCCCAGCCCAGUGACUCAGCUGUCUACCUGUGUGCAGUGAGCACACAGUGCUCCCCAGGCACUUGCAGUCUGCACAAAAACCUAUUGGACCCCAACGAGACCUGA